RNAcentral lists this ribosomal RNA (254 nucleotides) under uncultured bacterium. Its description in RNAcentral is "partial 16S ribosomal RNA". It matches the Rfam family "Archaeal small subunit ribosomal RNA", at positions 474 to 728 of the family's 1478-position model. The record is from RNAcentral.
UACCAGCACCCCGAGUGGUCGGGACGAUUAUUGGGCCUAAAGCAUCCGUAGCCGGUCCUGCAAGUCUUCCGUUAAAUCCAGCUGCUCAACAGAUGGGCUGCGGGGGAUACUACAGGGCUAGGAGGCGGGAGAGGCAAGCGGUACUCGAUGGGUAGGGGUAAAAUCCGUUGAUCCAUUGAAGACCACCAGUGGCGAAGGCGGCUUGCCAGAACGCGCUCGACGGUGAGGGAUGAAAGCUGGGGGAGCAAACCGGG